AUGGUUAUGGUCCAACACCUGGUCGCCGUCGGCAGAGACGUGGUCUUUAGGGGGCCGCAUACGCUGACGCCGAGGCCGACGCCAUCGGCAGGCACCAGCACCCCCAAGUCGACCGUCAUCUCGGUGGUGAUAUGCGCCUUGUUCUUCCUGGUCGGCCUCUGCGGCUACAUCAACAGGUACUGCCGCCGCGUCAACACGGCGGCAGCAGCGCCGGUGGGAGGCAGGGACAGGUCAUCGUCGUCAGGGGGGAGCUCCAGGAAGCGCGGGCUGGAGCAGUCGGUGCUGGCGACGUUCCCGGUCAUGCUGUGGAGGGGCCACCACAAGAAGGAGAAGACGGUGAUGGAGGAGGAGGAGGAGGAGGAGCGCUGCCCCGUGUGCCUGGCGGCGUUCGAGGAAGGCGACAACCUCCGCCUGCUGCCGCACUGCUCGCACGUGUUCCACCCGGAGUGCGUCGACCCCUGGCUGCAGGCGCGGGCGACCUGCCCCCUGUGCCGGGCCAACCUCGAGCUGCCGCUGCCGGCGGACGCCCUGGCGAUCGCAAUGCCGGCGGAGGGUAGCGACGACGACGUGGAUGACGGGAAGGAGGAGGCCAUGGAGCUCGAGAUGCUACGCACAGAGCGGCGGGCGGCGAGGCUGCCACCAGUCGCCACAGGGAAGCUGGCACUGCCGUCUCCAGUAGCGCGCAUCGCUGAGAGAGUGUCUGCGUCCAGCGUCGGUGUCGUGGGCCCAAGCUAG
Molecule: ribosomal RNA, 735 nt
Filed under: Triticum aestivum (bread wheat)
Lineage: Eukaryota; Viridiplantae; Streptophyta; Magnoliopsida; Poales; Poaceae
Description: partial small subunit ribosomal RNA
Source: RNAcentral